CUAUGUUUUCAGUCCACUGGCUUGCUGAAACUCUCUGGUUUGGUUCUGGGAACACAGGAUUACAGCCAGCAGCGGCCGUCUCAGGAGCUGGUCGCCAAGGAUUUUGGUUCUGUGUAG
RNAcentral lists this ribosomal RNA (117 nucleotides) under Triticum aestivum (bread wheat). RNAcentral describes it as "partial small subunit ribosomal RNA". Lineage: Eukaryota; Viridiplantae; Streptophyta; Magnoliopsida; Poales; Poaceae. The record is from RNAcentral.